GAACAGAGGGUCGUCGAGUGCGCUGUCCGGUCCUGCCCGCGUUCGGGCCAGUUUUGACCCCAGCCCUUGCGGCCCGUGAACAUUCGAAACAAGAAACACGGGAGCGAUUCUUCCCUGACUCUCGCAUGCCAUGCAUGCCAGGGGGCGUCCGUGAUUUUUACUGUGACUAAAGAAGUGCGACCAAAGCAGUCAUUUCGACUUGAAUUAGAAAGCAUGGGAUAACAAGAGACAGCCUUGGGGCUACCGUUUCGGCUUUUGUUGGUUUUAGAGGUCCUUUGGAGAUUAUGGGUCCGGUGCGACGCGGCGUCACCUUCUGGUGGCGCCGCUUUGGCGCGCGCAAGCGCGUCAACUCGCCGGCCCAGGAAUGAAGGAGGGUAGUCGGGGGAGAACGUACUCGAGCGUCAGAGGUGAAAUUCUUAGACCGAUCGAAGACGAACUACAGCGGAGGCAUUCUUCAAGGAUACCUUCCUCAAUCAAGAACCAAAGUGUGGAGAUCGAAGAUGAUUAGAGACCAUUGUAGUCCACACUGCAAACGAUGACACCCAUGAAUUGGGGACUUUUUGGGUGCUCCAGCGCGCUUCCUUUUCGGGACUCGCGCUGGUCACCCGCCUUUACCAAACCUACGUGCCUAUUCUGUCCGGCGGGGGGUCACACCCCCGCCCCCC
Molecule: ribosomal RNA, 665 nt
Filed under: Strigomonas galati
Lineage: Eukaryota; Euglenozoa; Kinetoplastea; Trypanosomatida; Trypanosomatidae
Description: SSU rRNA
Rfam family: Eukaryotic small subunit ribosomal RNA
Source: RNAcentral